RNAcentral lists this ribosomal RNA (585 nucleotides) under uncultured bacterium. RNAcentral's name for it is "partial 16S ribosomal RNA". It matches the Rfam family "Bacterial small subunit ribosomal RNA", at positions 355 to 1375 of the family's 1533-position model. The record is from RNAcentral.
UGGGGAAUUUUGGACAAUGGGCGAAAGCCUGAUCCAGCAAUGCCGCGUGUGUGAAGAAGGCCUUCGGGUUGUAAAGCACUUUUUGUCCGGAAAGAAAUCCUUGGCUCUAAUACAGUCGGGGGAUGACGGUACCGGAAGAAUAAGCACCGGCUAACUACGUGCCAGCAGCCGCGGUAAUACGUGGGGUGCAAGCGUUAAUCGGAAUUACUGGGCGUAAAGCGUGCGCAGGCGGUUUGCUAAGACCGAUGUGAAAUCCCCGGGCUCAACCUGGGAACUGCAUUGGUGACUGGCAGGCUAGAGUAUGGCAGAGGGGGGUAGAAUUCCACGUGUAGCAGUGAAAUGCGUAGAGAUGUGGAGGAAUACCGAUGGCGAAGGCAGCCCCCUGGGCCAAUACUGACGCUCAUGCACGAAAGCGUGGGGAGCAAACAGGAUUAGAUACCCUGGUAGUCCACGCCCUAAACGAUGUCAACUAGUUGUUGGGGAUUCAUUUCCUUAGUAACGUAGCUAACGCGUGAAGUUGACCGCCUGGGGAGUACGUCGCAAGAUUAAAACUCAAAGGAAUUGACGGGGUCAUAGCUGUUUCCU